Molecule: unclassified non-coding RNA, 151 nt
Filed under: soil metagenome
Description: partial internal transcribed spacer 1
Source: RNAcentral
CAAGAAGAGACCCUAACCGGUCCUCUCAACCCUGCCCAUCGUACCUUUUUUGUUGUUCCCUCGGCGGUGCUCGCGGGCCCGCCGGCGGGAAGACCAAACAAACCCUUUGCAAACAAGCAUAUCGAAAUCUCUGAUCAAACAUGAAUUGUCA